CCUACGGGUGGCAGCAGUAAGGAAUAUUGGUCAAUGGACGCAAGUCUGAACCAGCCAUGCCGCGUGGAGGAUGAAGGUCCUCUGGAUUGUAAACUUCUUUUAUUUGGGAAGAAACUCCCGAUUUCCAUCGGGAUUGACGGUACCAGAUGAAUAAGCACCGGCUAACUCCGUGCCAGCAGCCGCGGUAAUACGGAGGGUGCAAGCUCAAUCCGGAUAAACGGGGUUUAAAGGGUGCGGUGGUGCGCAGGUAACAUCUCCGGGCUUAACCCGGAAACUGCCAUUGAUACUAUUUGUCUUGAAUACUCUGGAGGUGAGCGGAAUAUGUCAUGUAGCGGUGAAAUGCUUUGAUAUGACAUAGAACACCCAUUGCGAAGGCAGCUCACUACGGAAAUAUUGACGCUGAGGCACGAAAGCGUGGGGAUCAAACAGGAUUAGAUACCCCAGUAGUC
This 449-nucleotide ribosomal RNA is filed under the name uncultured bacterium. Its description in RNAcentral is "partial 16S ribosomal RNA". It matches the Rfam family "Bacterial small subunit ribosomal RNA", at positions 338 to 795 of the family's 1533-position model. The record is from RNAcentral.